RNAcentral lists this ribosomal RNA (572 nucleotides) under uncultured bacterium. RNAcentral's name for it is "bacterial SSU rRNA". It matches the Rfam family "Bacterial small subunit ribosomal RNA", at positions 125 to 692 of the family's 1533-position model. The record is from RNAcentral.
UCUGCCUGGUAGUGGGGGAUAACGUCCGGAAACGGACGCUAAUACCGCAUACGUCCUACGGGAGAAAGCAGGGGACCUUCGGGCCUUGCGCUAUCAGAUGAGCCUAGGUCGGAUUAGCUAGUUGGUGGGGUAAUGGCUCACCAAGGCGACGAUCCGUAACUGGUCUGAGAGGAUGAUCAGUCACACUGGAACUGAGACACGGUCCAGACUCCUACGGGAGGCAGCAGUGGGGAAUAUUGGACAAUGGGCGAAAGCCUGAUCCAGCCAUGCCGCGUGUGUGAAGAAGGUCUUCGGAUUGUAAAGCACUUUAAGUUGGGAGGAAGGGCAGUAAAUUAAUACUUUGCUGUUUUGACGUUACCGACAGAAUAAGCACCGGCUAACUCUGUGCCAGCAGCCGCGGUAAUACAGAGGGUGCAAGCGUUAAUCGGAAUUACUGGGCGUAAAGCGCGCGUAGGUGGUUCGUUAAGUUGGAUGUGAAAUCCCCGGGCUCAACCUGGGAACUGCAUUCAAAACUGACGAGCUAGAGUAUGGUAGAGGGUGGUGGAAUUUCCUGUGUAGCGGUGAAAUGCGUA